RNAcentral lists this long non-coding RNA (586 nucleotides) under Androctonus crassicauda. The record is from RNAcentral. Lineage: Eukaryota; Metazoa; Arthropoda; Arachnida; Scorpiones; Buthidae.
CGACCCUGAUGACUGUGAAGUGUGCGAGAUUAGUGUUCAUUUCCUCAGUUAUAUCUUCAUGUAGGACUUCUGUCUCUUCGUCAUCACUGCUAGUUGUCGAUGCAUAUACUUGUAUAAUUUUCAAUCAGUAUCUCUUGGAAAUCCUUAUUUUGACUUGUCUUACUCGGUCUGAGUUGCUGCUGAAACUGAUGAUAUUGUGUACGAUGUUCUUGUUGAUCAUGACUCCUAUUUUUCCAUUGGCGUUGAUCUCAUUAACUUGAUGGUAGAAAAGAUGUUCGCUUCGAAGUUCCGUGAGUUUUCGCCAUUUCUUCUUUAUUCGCUGAGUCCAAUGAUGUACUAGUUGAUCUCUGCUUCAUUUUUCAAUUCUUGUAGGCUGUCUUCUGUCGAAAGAUAUCGUCCAUUAUAUGUAGCGAAGGUCAGUAAUCGAAGACAACCAGUGCAUCUUUCAUACUCCAAUUGCUGCCGUGACCGAAUCUUCCAGUGCUGUUGAUAAUCCUAAUCUUGUGUCGAGUAUCAUUGAAACAAUCUGAAAGAUUGUAGAUUAUUAGGUCUGUCACGACUCAAUAAUUAGUUAAAAUCUGACGAC